Molecule: ribosomal RNA, 492 nt
Filed under: uncultured bacterium
Lineage: Bacteria
Description: partial 16S ribosomal RNA
Rfam family: Bacterial small subunit ribosomal RNA
Source: RNAcentral
AGUGAACGCUGGCGGUAGGCCUAACACAUGCAAGUCGAACGGCAGCACAGUAAGAGCUUGCUCUUACGGGUGGCGGGUGGCGGACGGGUGAGGAAUACAUCGGAAUCUACUUUUUCGUGGGGGAUAACGUAGGGAAACUUACGCUAAUACCGCAUACGACCUACGGGUGAAAGCAGGGGAUCUUCGGACCUUGCGCGAUUGAAUGAGCCGAUGUCGGAUUAGCUAGUUGGCGGGGUAAAGGCCCACCAAGGCGUCGAUCCGUAGCUGGUCUGAGAGGAUGAUCAGCCACACUGGAACUGAGACACGGUCCAGACUCCUACGGGAGGCAGCAGUGGGGAAUAUUGGACAAUGGGCGCAAGCCUGAUCCAGCCAUACCGCGUGGGUGAAGAAGGCCUUCGGGUUGUAAAGCCCUUUUGUUGGGAAAGAAAAGCAGCAGGUUAAUACCCCGCUGUUCUGACGGUACCCAAAGAAUAAGCACCGGCUAACUUCGUG